Molecule: transfer RNA, 75 nt
Filed under: Methylacidiphilales bacterium
Lineage: Bacteria; Pseudomonadati; Verrucomicrobiota; Methylacidiphilae; Methylacidiphilales
Description: Candidatus Methylacidiphilales bacterium tRNA-Val
Rfam family: tRNA
About the family: Transfer RNA (tRNA) molecules are approximately 80 nucleotides in length.
Source: RNAcentral
GGGUGCGUAGCUCAGCGGUAGAGCACUGCGUUCACAUCGCAGGGGUCACAGGUUCAAGCCCUGUCGCACCCACCA